UUUCCGUAGGUGAACCUGCGGAAGGAUCAUUACAGAGUUCAUGCCCUCACGGGUAGAUCUCCACCCUUGAAUAUUUAUACCUUAGUUGCUUUGGCAGGCCGUGGAAACACCAUGGGCUCCGGCUUAUGCGUGCCUGCCAGAGGAAACAAACUCUGUUUUUAGUGAUGUCUGAGUACUAUAUAAUAGUUAAAACUUUCAACAACGGAUCUCUUGGUUCUG
This 219-nucleotide unclassified non-coding RNA is filed under the name plant metagenome. RNAcentral describes it as "partial contains small subunit ribosomal RNA, internal transcribed spacer 1, and 5.8S ribosomal RNA". The record is from RNAcentral.